RNAcentral lists this long non-coding RNA (1038 nucleotides) under Oncorhynchus kisutch (coho salmon). RNAcentral's name for it is "lncRNA (ENSOKIG00005025514.1)". Lineage: Eukaryota; Metazoa; Chordata; Actinopteri; Salmoniformes; Salmonidae. The record is from RNAcentral.
GUGGACUCUCUCCACAGGACUGUCUCUUUACAGUGUGGACUCUCUCCACAUGACUGUCUCUUUACAGUGCUGACUCUCUCCACAGGACUGUCUCUUUACAGUGUGGACUCUCUCCACAGGACUGUCUCUUUACAGUGUGGACUCUCUCCACGGGACUGUCUCUUUACAGUGUGGACUCUCUCCACAGGACUGUCUCUUUACAGUGUGGACUCUCUCCACGGGACUGUCUCUUUACAGUGUGGACUCUCUCUACAGGACUGUCUCUUUACAGUGUGGACUCUCUCCACAGGACUGUCUCUUUACAGUGUGGACUCUCUCCACAGGACUGUCUCUUUACAGUGUGGACUCUCUCCACAGGACUGUCUCUUUACAGUGUGGUCCCUCUCCACAGGACUGUCUCUUUACAGUGUGGACUCUCUCCACAGGAUUGUCUCUUUACAGUGUGGUCCAUCUCCACAGGACUGUCUCUUUACAGUGUGGACUCUCUCCACAGGACUGUCUCUUUACAGUGUGGACUCUCUCCACAGGACUGUCUCUUUACAGUGUGGACUCUCUCCACAGGACUGUCUCUUUACAGUGUGGACUCUCUCCACAGGACUGUCUCUUUACAGUGUGGUCCCUCUCCACAGGACUGUCUCUUUACAGUGUGGACUCUCUCCACAGGAUUGUCUCUUUACAGUGUGGUCCAUCUCCACAGGACUGUCUCUUUACAGUGUGGACUCUCUCCACAGGACUGUCUCUUUACAGUGUGGACUCUCUCUACAGGACUGUCUCUUCACAGUGUGGUCCCUCUCCACAGCCCUCGGGGGUGAUCUGACUGAAAUUGGGGGUGAUCUGACUGAAAUUGGAGGUGAUCUAACUCAAUUCAGGGGUGAUCUGACUGAACUCUCUUUCCAGCUAGAUCCUCCUCUCUCUUGCUGUUUGUGUUCUCAGCAAACUCAGCAUUCUGAUGAAACCUCUGUUUUUACCAGCCUUGUAUUGAAAAUGUCCCGAUGGAGCUGUGUGUUUUUGCGUUUGCUUGCGUGCUCACCCAUGUGA